AAGUGGUAACAAGGUUUCCGUAGGUGAACCUGCGGAAGGAUCAUUAACACGUAUCCAAACGUAAAAAACCCCCCCCCGUGAACAUUCAAUCUUGCUCUUGUAACCCGCGUGGUUCGCAAUCUCUGGUAAAUCAUAGCCCGGAAAGUAGUUUUGAUUCAGAGACCGCUGGCUACGUGAGAACAUUGGAACAGUUACAAUCGAGCGGUAGUUUCAUAGGCAUUGUUUCCCCAAGCAGUUAGUGUCUGAAAGUGUCACUAACGAUUCCUGUAGACCGUACACUCGGGCAGGAGCUAUGCCAAAGGGUCCCCAUGCCCCCUUAUAACCCCACAGUUUAAUGUGAAGCUCAAUGUAAUACAUUGGGUAAAAAAACCGAACAACUGUUAACAAUGGAUAUCUUGGUUCUC
RNAcentral lists this unclassified non-coding RNA (404 nucleotides) under fungal sp. RNAcentral describes it as "partial internal transcribed spacer region". The stretch from base 1 to 46 matches the Rfam family "Eukaryotic small subunit ribosomal RNA", at positions 1786 to 1831 of the family's 1831-position model. The record is from RNAcentral. Lineage: Eukaryota; Fungi.